This 66-nucleotide transfer RNA is filed under the name Phyrella fragilis. RNAcentral describes it as "tRNA-Cys". The record is from RNAcentral. Lineage: Eukaryota; Metazoa; Echinodermata; Holothuroidea; Dendrochirotida; Phyllophoridae.
GGUUCUAAGGUGUUAUUAACAUAUUUAAUUGCAAAUUAAAAGUUGCUACAUCUUUAGCUAGAACUU